Mycena rosella is the source of this 89-nucleotide non-coding RNA. The record is from the annotation of a GenBank genome assembly. NCBI's taxonomy places the organism in Eukaryota, Fungi, Basidiomycota, Agaricomycetes, Agaricales, Mycenaceae.
GGUGUCAUAUGGUGUAGUUGGUUUAUCCCUUCUGUCUAACACUUUCGCUGGUACACAGGCGAUCCUCGGUCCGAGCCCGGGUCGAAUCA